AUUGAACGCUGGCGGCAGGCCUAACACAUGCAAGUCGAAUGGUAACAGGAAACAGCUUGCUGUUUCGCUGACGAGUGGCGGACGGGUGAGUAAUGUCUGGGAAACUGCCUGAUGGAGGGGGAUAACUACUGGAAACGGUAGCUAAUACCGCAUAACGUCGCAAGACCAAAGAGGGGGACCUUCGGGCCUCUUGCCAUCAGAUGCGCCCAGAUGGGAUUAGCUAGUAGGUGGGGUAACGGCUCACCUAGGCGACGAUCCCUAGCUGGUCUGAGAGGAUGACCAGCCACACUGGAACUGAGACACGGUCCAGACUCCUACGGGAGGCAGCAGUGGGGAAUAUUGCACAAUGGGCGCAAGCCUGAUGCAGCCAUGCCGCGUGUAUGAAGAAGGCCUUCGGGUUGUAAAGUACUUUCAGCGGGGAGGAAGGGAGUAAAGUUAAUACCUUUGCUCAUUGACGUUACCCGCAGAAGAAGCACCGGCUAACUCCGUG
RNAcentral lists this ribosomal RNA (490 nucleotides) under uncultured bacterium. RNAcentral describes it as "partial 16S ribosomal RNA". It matches the Rfam family "Bacterial small subunit ribosomal RNA", at positions 30 to 507 of the family's 1533-position model. The record is from RNAcentral.